Molecule: ribosomal RNA, 192 nt
Filed under: Triticum aestivum (bread wheat)
Lineage: Eukaryota; Viridiplantae; Streptophyta; Magnoliopsida; Poales; Poaceae
Description: partial small subunit ribosomal RNA
Source: RNAcentral
AUGGAAGGCCUCCUACACUGGGAUUUCAAUCCUGGUCUAGCUGUGGCAGAUGAGGUACGUAGAAGGUUUGGAGAAACGGUGCACUUCUCACCAUCUCGCAAUACCAAGGAAUUUUUCUUGGAGGUUUCAUUUUCUUUGGCUUCGUUCCCUCUUUCUAAAGAUUCAGUGGGUGUGGCUUUGCAAUGUUGCAUU